Molecule: long non-coding RNA, 595 nt
Filed under: Homo sapiens (human)
Lineage: Eukaryota; Metazoa; Chordata; Mammalia; Primates; Hominidae
Description: HSALNT0379687
Source: RNAcentral
GCUCCAAUUACUCCCUCAUUUUCAGGUGACUCAGAGAACUUCAAGUGACCAGCACAGUGGUACAGCCCCACUUGUCGUUAAUGGCCAGCCAUAAAAGAACCCAAGUUUCUCAGCUCAUAGGCCAGGUUCUUCAGUGGUUGUCUAGUUUAAGGCUGGUCAUUAGCAAUAUUAUGGACGACCUAAGUUCCUCGAACUUAUGCAGUUUAUAGCUUUUUAAGAAUUUAAGAAGUGGAGAAGGGGAAGCAUGAGAAACUUAAAGGAUGCAAAUUGAGCAUCUCUUAAAAUAUAAUGGAUUUGUGUAGGUGAAACAGAUUUGUUGCCAAAAGUUAAUUUGUGCACAAGUUAUCAGGAACACACUUGAUAAAAUUAGAUGCUGAUUAAUUGGAGAUACAUUGUAUCCAGAGAUACACAAGAAUCCAGAGGAAAUAAACAGAGAAGGAGAGGAAGAGGGAAGGAAUUCAUGGAGGGCUAAAAAUUUUGGAGAGGACAAAGUUUUAAGGAGUCUCAAUACCAAAUCCUCAUCUUGGCUCUGCCUUCAAGUUACUGUUUCUUUGGAUGGAGUCUUGCUCUGCUGCCUAGGCUGGUGUGGAAUGGC